RNAcentral lists this ribosomal RNA (492 nucleotides) under uncultured bacterium. RNAcentral's name for it is "partial 16S ribosomal RNA". It matches the Rfam family "Bacterial small subunit ribosomal RNA", at positions 29 to 507 of the family's 1533-position model. The record is from RNAcentral.
AGUGAACGCUGGCGGUAGGCCUAACACAUGCAAGUCGAACGGCAGCACAGUAAGAGCUUGCUCUUACGGGUGGCGAGUGGCGGACGGGUGAGGAAUACAUCGGAAUCUACUUUUUCGUGGGGGAUAACGUAGGGAAACUUACGCUAAUACCGCAUAUGACCUACGGGUGAAAGCAGGGGAUCUUCGGACCUUGCGCGAUUGAAUGAGCCGAUGUCGGAUUAGCUAGUUGGCGGGGUAAAGGCCCACCAAGGCGACGAUCCGUAGCUGGACUGAGAGGAUGAUCAGCCACACUGGAACUGAGACACGGUCCAGACUCCUACGGGAGGCAGCAGUGGGGAAUAUUGGACAAUGGGCGAAAGCCUGAUCCAGCCAUACCGCGUGGGUGAAGAAGGCCUUCGGGUUGUAAAGCCCUUUUGUUGGGAAAGAACAGCAGCAGGUUAAUACGCCGCUGUUCUGACGGUACCCAAAGAAUAAGCACCGGCUAACUUCGUG